UAACAUUAACAACAUCAACUAUAUAUACACAAUAACACAAAAGAAAAUCAACAAAAGUGAACAACAGCAGCAAUUUGAAGAACAGCAGCAACAACAUUAUUACAUGAACAAUAACAUUAGCAAAAUCAACUACAUAUACACAAAGGAAAUCAACAAAAGUGAAGACUCUGCCCCGAAUUUCUUCUUUUUCUCUGUGUGUGUUUCUUGCUUAAAAUGGCGGCCUCAGAGAAAACAGUAUUCUCCAAAUCAUCUUCUGUAUCUUUAUGUAUGAAUUUGUGAAGUUGUUGCACCCAUGGUCAGAGAUGCUUUUGUUUCUGAGGAGGUGGUUCGUAUAGACUGCAAGGUCUCGAGAUGAGUGGCUACAAGUAGAUAGGCUUCAAACUCAGGGUACAAUUGGGAGAAGAAAGCAUGCCCAGAGUGAUGCGUCAGCUUAGGUACAUUGGAGCUUCAGCACAGAUAAGCACUUAGAGUAGAAAUUUGUAGUUUGAAUGUAGAGAAGUCAUUUGGAAGGUAGGUCCAGGAAUGUGACCAUAAUUUUUAGUUUUUUGUGGAGCUGAGAGGUAUCGGCCAUCAUGGCCGGCUGUGAUUUUGCU
Molecule: long non-coding RNA, 593 nt
Organism: Papaver somniferum (opium poppy)
Lineage: Eukaryota; Viridiplantae; Streptophyta; Magnoliopsida; Ranunculales; Papaveraceae
Exons: 3
Source: RefSeq, a predicted model, not a curated record